UGUUUUUUUCCUCCCGUUCCCCUUCUCCUUCCCUGUUCCACUUCUCUGUCAUAAAAAACCUCUGUUUCUCUUCAAAACAAAAAACCCGAUAAUGACUUUCUUCUCCAUUGUUUCACAAACAUGAGAACAACGACUACACAAUGCACUCGGCAGAGAGGCUCCACAGCACCAUGGAGAUCUGUGGUGGAUUGACCCAAGAGACAACUCUCCACUUCCACCCAUUUGCACGGAUGGGUUUGCUUGAAGCUUUUCUCUCUGUCUUUGGAACACUGAAAACUUGCAGCUACAAAGGCAUCAUGUCUGCGCCCGAGUCAAUUGGAAACAACACUCAGAAAAAGCUUAUAAAAAUAGUUAUCAGUUUAGACACUGUGUGUCCAUGGUGCUUUGUGGGCAAAAAAAAUCUUGACAAAGCUAUAGCUGCAUCUAAGGAUCACUAUGACUUUAAGGUUUUUAGGGGCCAUGGAUUGGAAUAUAACCUUUCAGGACUCACGGGAAAUACUCUAGACAACCACAGGCUUAUGCAUUUCGCUGGGCAAUAGGGUCUUGAUAAGCAACAUAAUCUUAUGGAGGUGCUCUCUCUUGGCUACUUCACUCAGGCAAAAUUUAUUGGUGACAAAUUGUCAGAUUGAUCGCUACUCAUUCUCUCUCAAUCACGCGCUAUAGUCCACCCCCUCAAUCUUUGCCUUUUAUCGACGCCACCACCAAGAGAUGAAGUGGAAUACUCUAAUUUCAUCACAGCAAAGACCCCAGCUUCUUUUCCAAUUUCCUCCUUCAGUAACCCAUGGAUUAUUUUCUGCUUUCUGUUAUGCACAGCGAAAGACCAAAUCUAUAUAGUUUAGAAGCUGUCUGCAAAUUCCAGCAAUAGCAAAGUGAAAAGGGAAAAGAAAGCUAUGAGUAAUGGACACAGAUAUGAGUUAUUAAAAUACUAAACAAUUGUAUCUUUUUGGUGAUUUGCUAUUGUACUUGCUGCAUGCAAAAUGAGAAUUACUAUAGUUCACAAUCGAAUGAGUUUUACCAUAGUCAACAAAUGAGUUUCUUUUGGAACAUCUGACUCCUCCUGCCAACAGUUUGAAGCCAUGUCAUAUCAUGUACAACAAUGAAGAUGACAAUGGGAGAGAUAUUUUCCAAAGAUUAUAUUGAAAUUUUAUUGUUUAAUAGAUUGUGCUGAUUUUUUUUUCGACCCAAUUCUUUUUAUGUAAAUAAUUAUAUUAGAGGGUACUUGUGUCUGUUUUGUAUUCUAUAUUUGAUUGCAUUGUAGUUUAGAUGAGUCUUUGGGUUUGGAAUAGGAUAUGGAGUUCAUACAUAACCCAUUUUGGUCCUUAAUUGUAUUGUGGAAAAAUUUAUUGCAGAGAGAUGAUUAGAGUCAAAAUAAUUAUGCUGCUACGACA
RNA transcript from Quercus lobata, 1388 nucleotides. RefSeq lists it as uncharacterized. The record is from RefSeq and is a predicted model, not a curated record. The transcript has 9 exons. NCBI's taxonomy places the organism in Eukaryota, Viridiplantae, Streptophyta, Magnoliopsida, Fagales, Fagaceae.